This 484-nucleotide ribosomal RNA is filed under the name uncultured bacterium. Its description in RNAcentral is "partial 16S ribosomal RNA". It matches the Rfam family "Bacterial small subunit ribosomal RNA", at positions 28 to 507 of the family's 1533-position model. The record is from RNAcentral.
AUUGAACGCUGGCGGCAUGCUUUACACAUGCAAGUCGAACGGCAGCGCGGGCUUCGGCCUGGCGGCGAGUGGCGCACGGGAGUGUAAUGCAUCGGAACGUGCCCAGUAGUGGGGGAUAGCCCGGCGAAAGCCGGAUUAAUACCGCAUACGACCUGAGGGUGAAAGCGGGGGACCGAAAGGCCUCGCGCUAUGAGAGCGGCCGAUGUCGGAUUAGCUAGUUGGUGGGGUAAAGGCUUACCAAGGCCACGAUCCGUAGCUGGUCUGAGAGGACGACCAGCCACACUGGGACUGAGACACGGCCCAGACUCCUACGGGAGGCAGCAGUGGGGAAUUUUGGACAAUGGGGGCAACCCUGAUCCAGCCAUGCCGCGUGCGGGAAGAAGGCCUUCGGGUUGUAAACCGCUUUUGUUCGGGAAGAAAUGCUCUGGGCUAAUACCCCGGGGGGAUGACGGUACCGGAAGAAUAAGCACCGGCUAACUACGUG